GUGAAGUCUCGCUCUGUCACCAGGCUGGAGUGCAGUGGCAUGAUCUUGGCUCACUGCAGCCUCCACUCCCGGGUUCAAGGCGGUUUCCUGCCUCAGCUUCCCAAGUACUGGACUACAGGAUAUUCGGAAAUUCUUUGGAGUAAUACCAGGUGGAAAGAAACUUGUAAGUGAAACAGUAAAGAAGAAUGAGAAAACAAAGUCUGAUGAAGAAACUUUAAAAGCAAAGAAAGGAAUAAAGGAAAUCAAGGUAAAUAGCUCCCGUAAAGAGGAUGACUUCAAACAAAAGCAACCAAGCAAGAAAAAGAGGAUCAUCUAUGAUUCAGAUUCAGAGUCAGAGGAGACGUUGCAGGUAAAAAAUGCCAAAAAGCCACCAGAAAAACUGCCAGUAUCUUCUAAACCUGGUAAAAUUUCACGGCAGGAUCCUGUUACAUACAUUUCAGAAACAGAUGAAGAAGAUGACUUUAUGUGUAAGAAGGCGGCCUCUAAAUCAAAAGAGAAUGGAAGAUCUACAAAUAGUCAUCUUGGAACAUCAAACAUGAAAAAGAAUGAAGAAAACACUAAGACCAAGAAUAAGCCUUUAUCACCAAUAAAACUUACACCCACAUCAGUACUUGAUUAUUUUGGAACUGGAAGUGUCCAAAGAUCUAAUAAGAAGAUGGUGGCAAGCAAAAGAAAAGAGCUUUCACAAAAUACAGAUGAGUCUGGAUUACAAGAUGAAGCCAUUGCCAAGCAAUUACAGCUUGAUGAAGAUGCGGAGCUGGAGAGGCAGUUGCAUGAAGAUGAAGAGUUUGCCAGAACAUUAGCCAUGUUGGAUGAAGAACCCAAGACCAAAAAGGCUCGAAAGGACACAGAAGCGGGAGAAACAUUUUCAUCUGUCCAAGCCAAUCUAAGUAAAGCAGAAAAACAUAAAUAUCUUCAUAAAGUAAAAACAGCACAAGUUUCAGAUGAAAGAAAGAGCUACAGUCCUAGGAAGCAAAGUAAAUAUGAAAGUUCAAAAGAAUCUCAGCAACAUUCCAAGUCAUCAGCUGACAAAAUAGGAGAAGUCUCUUCUCCCAAGGCCAGUUCUAAGCUGGCAAUUAUGAAAAGAAAAGAAGAGAGCUCUUAUAAAGAAAUAGAGCCUGUGGCCUC
This 1128-nucleotide small RNA is filed under the name Pan troglodytes (chimpanzee). RNAcentral's name for it is "processed transcript". The record is from RNAcentral. Lineage: Eukaryota; Metazoa; Chordata; Mammalia; Primates; Hominidae.